Molecule: long non-coding RNA, 3495 nt
Organism: Poecile atricapillus (Black-capped chickadee)
Lineage: Eukaryota; Metazoa; Chordata; Aves; Passeriformes; Paridae
Exons: 6
Source: RefSeq, a predicted model, not a curated record
CGGCGGUGCGGCCUGUGCGGGCGGUGCCCCGCCGGUCCCCCCGCCCGGAGAGAGCCGCAGAGCCGUGGAAUGGUGGCGUGAGCGCGGAUGGAAGAGUCAUUUAACAUCACCGAAUGCAGCCGUCAACCAAGCAGUGCCCCUGUAACACCGAAACCGCAUCACCCACGGCCUGAUUCUGACGCCUCUUUAACACCUUCAGGGAUGGUGACUCCCAACUCCCUGGGCGAUGCCAGUGUCUGACCAGCCGAACUGUUCAAAUUUUUUUCAGAUGUCUAUCUAGUGAAAGAUAAUGCCACGUACCUCAGACUUCCUGUGGACUGAUGUUGGAUGCCAUUGUUAUACAGAACUGGGAAUGGAAAAGGAAGAACUUCCUGGAGUCUGGAAAGGGCAGAUAAUACCACUUGGGAAUCUUCCAGUGAGGAAGAAAAAAGCUAGUGCAGAGCUUGUGGGAUUGAAAGUACACAAAGUACACUGGUUCUCCAGAAAAGUACAGUGAGUUUGCAGGAGGCUGGACUGUUGCAGCAAGUUUACAGAUCAUCCAAAGGCACCCUCUUCCAAAAUGAAAGGAAGGUCUGGGAAAUAAGCAUCAUCAUAUCUGGCAGGAGACAGGGCAAGAGAGCCUACCUGCAGCUGAAUUUAGGAAGGCACACUUGUUUGGAAGACCUACCUGGAGUACAAGGCCCAUCCCACCUAAUGUAGGUUUCUACUUCUCCCACUGAUGGAAGAAGGAACCAUGAGAGGGCAGAUCUGUGAAGUGACAACCUGCACUCAACAAAUCUCCCAUUUGUGGGUUUGAGGAAUAUUUUCACUAAAUGAAAUAAAGACCAGCUACUGGUGACAGUGAAAGAAAACAGAUGUACACUUGGCACAACUUUUGGCACUCUCAGGGUAAGGUAGAGCUCAAGAACAUCUGGCAAUUGAGAGAGGGGUUAAUGCUGACUUAUGCAAGUGCAAAGGAAAAAGGUCUGUGCUGAUUUUUAAGUUUUGUGUGAGAGAUUGAUAUUGGUGAGUUUAUGUAACUUUUAAUGCCACUUGGUAGCUCAAGUGCAAAGCAGCUCUGAACAUCAGUCUUCAUUCUGGUCGUUAAGUCAUCAGAGUGGGAGGCCACCCUCACUCCAAUGCCAGGUAUCUCACUGAUGAAGGCAGGAGGGAAAUUAUGACCCUGAACUCACUCCUGACAGUGGCUGCCAUUGGUCAUGAAGCUUCAGAAGUUCUUAAUGUUUCCUUUUCUUUAAUUCUCAUUGCCUGGAAAGUGUGUGGUUCCUCAGACACAGGGCCUUCAAGGCCGCAUCCCAUCUCUCAGAAGAGCAUCCUAACCAUGAGAGGAUAGAGCACCUAGCUGCUGGGGAGCUCUGCAGCCAAAAUACAGCAGAUGGGCCUGGGAGAAAGCACAGCCCAACUCAGCAGAUUUGCUCUUUGCUCUGGGUACAUGGGACCAAACAGAGCCUGCCAGUGUUUGGCUGAAAAAAUUGCCAUUUCUGGACCUGGUUAAAUUUAGGAAUGAGCUUGGUUUUGUGAGCCUCAGCUUGGACAGGACUUGGACAGAUUGGGCACAUGCUGAGCUGCAGUUCUUGGCCCAGGAGCCUUUUCUAUCCUGCCUUUGGUCUGCUUAUGUUCAGCAACAACUCGGCAAAGAUGUUCAGAACCUGUUUUGGACACUGCUAUGUGCACAUGGCCUCUAUUUCAUGUCAAAUGACCAACCAUUUUGGAUCUGGCCUUAAAGGGAUGGUGAAGAUGUUUAAAACAAUAAACAAAGGCAUAAAAAAGGAAAAGAAAGAAUUGAAAAAAGGAACAAAGGAAUGCUUACCUAGUAGUGUAGAAGGGAUUUACUUAUUUUUUUAUGUAUAUAAUUUUGUUACAUUGAAAGAUGAGCCAGGUGUUAGAAAGAAGCAUGUAUUUAUGUCUUACACUGAAUACCAUAGCAGUGCAGUGUGUGAAAAAGAAGAUAAAUCUAAAUUCUCAGGAACUAAAUGUUUUUGGUUUUUUUUUCCCUUGCAUUAAUUUAGUUUAGACUUGUCCUCACUGACAGGAGACAGACUUUCCAACUACUGGUUGGAUGCCUCAAAAAAAUCUUGAUGCCUGCUGAAGAAAUACUAUGAUUUUCACUCUUUCCAUGGGUACAUAUAUAUACCCUAUGCAUUAUAAUAUUGUAUCUUAUGGCACCACAAAAUCAGAGUUGAUCUAUAUUUAUUUUUUAAUUAAUUUUAUAUAUUGUAUGUAUUUAUAUAUUUUAUAUAGGAGACAAGCACUGUAUAAGAGAGAUCAAUAGUGCUUUAUAAAAUCACAAGAAUAAUUAUAUAAUAUAGUCUGCAAGAGUACUUACACAUUCCUUGCAUUUAGUGGAUGCAAAAAUGUUUUCAAUACUACUAGUCGUGAUUUUAAUUUUUAUUUUCACAGAAUGAUUAAAGACUUUACCAUAUUUUUGCUAUUGUUUUCUUGUUCAGAACAUCCAAAAUGUGCUGGGCAGCAUCAAGCUAUAUUAGCAAUAGACCCUUCCAUAAUGGAGGGUGUGGUUUUCAGAAUCAGUGGCAACUUGAAGACUGCUUUGUGAGUGUGUAAUGAACUGGUCAGCACUUGCUGAGCUUUCUGUCUUUUCUGUGCAUUCACUGAACCAUCAGUCAAUCAGAGUAGUUCAGAUCCAAAGUUAUCAUCUGUAUGUUACUGAUGGAGCACAAAGCAAAAAACAGUUACAGGAGUGACUGCUGUAUAAUCUGACAGUUUUGAGUGCACUUUUAAAAAAUAAACAGAAGAUAAUACUGCUUGAAUUUAUGUAAGAAACCCUAAAAUAUGUUCCAAUGAAGUACCUGGAGUUGUGCUAGUGGGAUGAAAGCAAUAUGCUGCCAAUACAGAAGAGUGAAGACAAAACUAUCUAGGGCAUGUUCAAAAAAAUACCUACAAUAAAGCAAUUUAGGAGAAGGAGUCUCUCUGGACUAAAGUCUCUUUAGUCUUUAGUAGAGUAUUAUGUUUAUUGCAUGUUUCCUAAAGCACAAUUUGAACUACAGAGCUGCAAUUUAAAGUUUAUGAAAACGGAACAUAGCCAAAUGGAAUGAAAAAUAUGCAGUACAUAACCACAGUAAAUACUAAUGUAAUUCAUUAUUUGUGUGGUUUUAAUUGACAGGGCACAAAACAGGAACAAAAUAGAAACAAAAAUAUUUGGAGAACAAAAUUAAACAUGAAAAAAGCCUUAGAACACAGCAAAGGUAUGUCCCUCAAGAUUAGGUUUGGAGUAAAUUUUGAUGCUGAAUUACAAAUGCUUUGUUAGGCAGGUACUGUAGUGAUAAAAGUCAUGUGCUCUGACUGAAAUUCUGAGGGCUCAUAUCAAUGGCAAAUAUUCUUUGGCUUUGGUGGAGUCAACACUUGAACCUAGAGCUCAGGAGCUAUACUGGUUAGUGUUAUCUGUUAACUGCGACAGCACAAAGCAGCUGGGUUACAUGAAAUGAAAGCUCUACCUGGGGCCACUGGUUCUGUGCCUAAGGUGUGGCUAUGCCAUGGUGC